Molecule: long non-coding RNA, 604 nt
Organism: Humulus lupulus (European hop)
Lineage: Eukaryota; Viridiplantae; Streptophyta; Magnoliopsida; Rosales; Cannabaceae
Exons: 2
Source: RefSeq, a predicted model, not a curated record
CCGUUAAGCUCGCCUCCCCACUCGCCGGCCUCCGUCGCGGCUGGGUCCCCGAAGUUCCGUCGCCACUGUGAAAUUUUGUUAUUGUUAUUGUUCUCCGUCCGAGGGUUGGGAGCACCAGUCUAGCGCCUAUGGUACUCUCUUGCGGACAACGUUUUUUGGGCCAGAUUCAGGAGGAGUCGUGGCUCCUGCCACACCGAAGAAGUAGAGCUUGUUGAUGAGCCCGCCUAGCCGGAAUAUAUUUCGAUACAAGACCAAGACUCGGCAAUCAAUGCAUUCGCUCUCACCGUUUGGGUUCGAUGCUGCUGUUCCUGGAGUUAAUCAUAGCCCUGUCAAGACUCCUAGGAAGGUUGCGAGGUCACCGUAUAAGGUACUAGAUGCGCCUACAUUGCAAGACGACUUUUAUUUGAUCUUGUGGAUUGGUCUUCGAACAAUGUGUUGGUUGUUGGAUUGGGUAGUUGUGUUUACUUAUGGAAUGUCUGUAGUAGCAAGGUGAACUCUAUUGUUAGCAUGGUCAUCAAAAAAGUGUUACAAUAUUUGAAAUUUGGUAUGGGAAUCUUGGUUUGGUCUAUUUAUGAGUAUUGGUUCUGCUUUAUUGAUUAUGGCA